AAUCCGUGAUAUGGACACGAUCUAAGGAUACUUUUGAAUAUAUCCCAUGCUUCAUAAAGAGAUUUCAUAUCAAUCUAUCUGAAGCUAGCAAUCUGAUUUCUCAUAUG
Zingiber officinale is the source of this 107-nucleotide small nucleolar RNA. NCBI's taxonomy places the organism in Eukaryota, Viridiplantae, Streptophyta, Magnoliopsida, Zingiberales, Zingiberaceae. The record is from RefSeq and is a predicted model, not a curated record.